RNAcentral lists this ribosomal RNA (441 nucleotides) under uncultured bacterium. RNAcentral describes it as "partial 16S ribosomal RNA". It matches the Rfam family "Bacterial small subunit ribosomal RNA", at positions 338 to 795 of the family's 1533-position model. The record is from RNAcentral.
CCUACGGGUGGCAGCAGUGGGGAAUAUUGCACAAUGGGGGAAACCCUGAUGCAGCGACGCCGCGUGAGUGAAGGAGUACUUCGGUAUGUAAAGCUCUAUCAGCAGGGAAGAAAAAAGACGGUACCUGACUAAGAAGCCCCGGCUAACUACGGGCCAGCAGCCGCGGUAAUACGUAGGGGGCAAGGGUUAUCCGGUUUUACUGGGUGUAAAGGGGGCGUAGGCGGCGUGGCAAGUCUGAAGUGAAAGGCAGGGGCUUAACCCCGGAACUGCUUUGGAAACUGCCAGGCUAGAGUGCUGGAGAGGUAAGUGGAAUUCCUAGUGUAGCGGUGACAUGCGUAGAUAUUAGGAGGAACACCAGUGGCGAAGGCGGCUUACUGGACAGUAACUGACGUUGAGGCUCGAAAGCGUGGGGAGCAAACAGGAUUAGAUACCCGAGUAGUC